This 433-nucleotide ribosomal RNA is filed under the name uncultured bacterium. RNAcentral describes it as "partial 16S ribosomal RNA". It matches the Rfam family "Bacterial small subunit ribosomal RNA", at positions 29 to 507 of the family's 1533-position model. The record is from RNAcentral.
AACGAACGCUGGCGGCAUGCCUAACACAUGCAAGUCGAGCGCGCCCUUCGGGGUGAGCGGCGGACGGGUGAGUAACGCGUGGGAACGUGCCCUUUUCUACGGAAUAGCCUCGGGAAACUGAGAGUAAUACCGUAUACGCCCUUGGGGGGAAAGAUUUAUCGGAAAAGGAUCGGCCCGCGUUGGAUUAGGUAGUUGGUGGGGUAAUGGCCUACCAAGCCGACGAUCCAUAGCUGGUUUGAGAGGAUGAUCAGCCACACUGGGACUGAGACACGGCCCAGACUCCUACGGGAGGCAGCAGUGGGGAAUCUUAGACAAUGGGGGCAACCCUGAUCUAGCCAUGCCGCGUGAGUGAUGAAGGCCUUAGGGUUGUAAAGCUCUUUCAGCUGGGAAGAUAAUGACGGUACCAGCAGAAGAAGCCCCGGCUAACUCCGUG